RNAcentral lists this unclassified non-coding RNA (247 nucleotides) under Lecanorales sp. RNAcentral's name for it is "partial contains 5.8S ribosomal RNA, internal transcribed spacer 2, and large subunit ribosomal RNA". The record is from RNAcentral. Lineage: Eukaryota; Fungi; Ascomycota; Lecanoromycetes; Lecanorales.
CGCACAUUGCGCCCCUUGGUAUUCCGGGGGGUAUGCCUGUCCGAGCGUCAUUACACCCCUCAAGCAUAGCUUGGUCUUGGGCGUCGCUCCCCACCAGAGGGCGUGCCUGAAAAGUAGUGGCGGUCCGGCGUGACUUUGGACGUAGUAAAUCUCCCUCGUUCUGAAAGCCUUCACGCUGUGGCCCGCCAGAAUGCGCCACCUUUUGACGAUUGACCUCGGAUCAGGUAGGGAUACCCGCUGAACUUAA